RNAcentral lists this unclassified non-coding RNA (299 nucleotides) under uncultured Sordariomycetes. RNAcentral describes it as "sequence contains ITS1". The stretch from base 1 to 105 matches the Rfam family "5.8S ribosomal RNA", at positions 50 to 154 of the family's 154-position model. Lineage: Eukaryota; Fungi; Ascomycota; Sordariomycetes. The record is from RNAcentral.
GAAAUGCGAUACGUAAUGUGAAUUGCAGAAUUCAGUGAAUCAUCGAAUCUUUGAACGCACAUUGCGCCCGCCAGUAUUCUGGCGGGCAUGCCUGUCCGAGCGUCAUUUCAACCCUCAAGCACUGCUUGGUGUUGGGGCGCUACGCGAGAGCGUAGGCCCUGAAAUUCAGUGGCGGACUCGCUGAAGGUCCGGGCGUAGUAGCGAUAUGUCGCCCGCGGUCUCUGGCAAGCUGGCCGUAAAGCCCCACAGACUUACAGAAGGUUGACCUCGGAUCAGGUAGGGUUACCCGCUGAACUUAA